This 119-nucleotide ribosomal RNA is filed under the name Pteropus alecto (black flying fox). The record is from RNAcentral. RNAcentral also lists the same sequence under 1 other name. Lineage: Eukaryota; Metazoa; Chordata; Mammalia; Chiroptera; Pteropodidae.
GUCUACAGCCAUGCCACCCUGAACAAGCCCGGUCCCAUCUGAUCACGGAAACUAAGCAGGGUUGGGCUUGGUUGAUAUUUGGAUGGAAGACCACCUAGAAAGACUAGGUGCUCUAGGCA